AACGAACGCUGGCGGCAUGCCUAACACAUGUAAGUCGAACGAGACCUUCGGGUCUAGUGGCGCACGGGUGCGUAACGCGUGGGAACCUGCCCUUAGGUUCGGAAUAACUCCCCGAAAGGGGUGCUAAUACCGGAUAAUGUCUUCGGACCAAAGAUUUAUCGCCUUUGGAUGGGCCCGCGUUGGAUUAGCUAGUUGGUAGGGUAAAAGCCUACCAAGGCGACGAUCCAUAGCUGGUCUGAGAGGAUGAUCAGCCACACUGGGACUGAGACACGGCCCAGACUCCUACGGGAGGCAGCAGUGGGGAAUAUUGGACAAUGGGCGAAAGCCUGAUCCAGCAAUGCCGCGUGAGUGAUGAAGUCCUUAGGGUUGUAAAGCUCUUUUACCCGGGAUGAUAAUGACAGUACCGGGAGAAUAAGCUCCGGCUAACUCCGUG
This 433-nucleotide ribosomal RNA is filed under the name uncultured bacterium. RNAcentral describes it as "partial 16S ribosomal RNA". It matches the Rfam family "Bacterial small subunit ribosomal RNA", at positions 29 to 507 of the family's 1533-position model. The record is from RNAcentral.